RNAcentral lists this ribosomal RNA (564 nucleotides) under uncultured cyanobacterium. RNAcentral describes it as "bacterial SSU rRNA". It matches the Rfam family "Bacterial small subunit ribosomal RNA", at positions 338 to 916 of the family's 1533-position model. The record is from RNAcentral. Lineage: Bacteria; Bacillati; Cyanobacteriota.
CCUACGGGAGGCAGCAGUGGGGAAUUUUCCGCAAUGGGCGCAAGCCUGACGGAGCAACGCCGCGUGAGGGAUGAAGGCCUCUGGGCUGUAAACCUCUUUUAUCAAGGAAGAAGAUCUGACGGUACUUGAUGAAUAAGCCACGGCUAAUUCCGUGCCAGCAGCCGCGGUAAUACGGGAGUGGCAAGCGUUAUCCGGAAUUAUUGGGCGUAAAGCGUCCGCAGGCGGUCUUGUAAGUCUGUCGUUAAAGCGUGGAGCUUAACUCCAUUUAAGCGAUGGAAACUGUAAGACUAGAGUGUGGUAGGGGCAGAGGGAAUUCCCGGUGUAGCGGUGAAAUGCGUAGAUAUCGGGAAGAACACCAGUGGCGAAGGCGCUCUGCUGGGCCAUAACUGACGCUCAUGGACGAAAGCCAGGGGAGCGAAAGGGAUUAGAUACCCCUGUAGUCCUGGCCGUAAACGAUGAACACUAGGUGUCGGGGGAAUCGACCCCCUCGGUGUCGUAGCCAACGCGUUAAGUGUUCCGCCUGGGGAGUACGCACGCAAGUGUGAAACUCAAAGGAAUUGACGG